Long non-coding RNA from Leopardus geoffroyi (Geoffroy's cat), 1415 nucleotides. RefSeq lists it as uncharacterized. The transcript is spliced from 3 exons. Lineage: Eukaryota; Metazoa; Chordata; Mammalia; Carnivora; Felidae. The record is from RefSeq and is a predicted model, not a curated record.
UGGCCACACCUGACCUGUCCAGGGUUGGAGGAUGGGAGUGAGGGAACCAGCACGCAUCACACGUGAACUCUACAGUUGAGUAUGCCACUCAAUGCUUUCUUCGCAUUGCCUCGUUUAUUCCUAAAACCAGUCCACAAACUUUUAGAAGGGGGGUGUUUUGAUGCCCACCCCGUGGGUAAGGAAAUUGAAGUCAGAGAGGUUAAGAAACUUGCCGAAGGUCGCACAGUAAAUGGGGGAGCGAGUUUGGAACCUAGGGUGUCCACCUCUACUCGAGACAGGCAGGGGACAGUCGGGCCAGACUCGGGGCUAUUGAUCUGUCACCUGGUUAUGAGACUUUGGUUAUGAGACUUCGGGAGAGAUCGGAGGCCUCCAAUCUCCCGAGAGCCUCAGCUCAGUCCCCCUCAAGAGGAUGCUUCCUACUGGAUAGUUGUUGUUCUGGGGAACUCCCCAAACGUGUCCCCAACAGUCGGGAGCCAUCGGGGCUGAUGAUGACAGAUGUCUCCACGCAUCUGCCUCAUGCAUCCUCCUGACUGCACACAAGCGUGAGGGUACACGCCCGGCCUGAGCUGGUACGCGUCCAUCUUUGGCCCUGACCUUGGGGCCCCGGCUCCCGUGACUGGUCCUUCCGGCCUGUUGACCUUCUCCGUGCUCCUGGUACAUUCGCACCCCCACACCUUUGCCCGGGCUGCGACUCCCCACCUAGGAUGCCCCCUCAACUUCUUCCUCGUUCAAAUGUGACCGCUGUUUCAGCCUCCAGCUCAAGUCAUGCCUUCCCCAGCAGCUCGUACAAGCUCCUAAAUACAGUCUAGCCCCACAUGGCCUGAAAAGCUGCCGUUUGGCGACCUAGCCUUCCAGAGACGCACGGGCUUUCCGGAGCCUUCUAGAUGCUCCCAGGGACGCAUCUAGAGCAGUCUGGGCCCCAAAUGGGUUGUGAGCACUCUGAGGGCAGGGGCUGAAUUUAAAUGCCCUCUCUGCUUGGCACAGGGAAGACUGGCUGGGAGCCCAUGGCUUAGGGUCUAACAGCCCCAUCUCCGCCACUUUCUCGCCGUGUGACUCAGCGUCUGGCAGGCCGCAAACGCUCGGUCCGUGGGAAGCAUGGCUGCUGUUGUUUUCAUGGCUAUUAUUUUUAUUCCCAAGAGGCUUUCCGGAGCAGCAGCGUAACCAGGUUCACGGGAGCCUGGGCCCUGGAGUCCGACCAUCCUGAGUUCGAAUCUCACCCGCUCACUAGUUGUACAAAAUUGGGGAACGUGAGCAGCGCAAAUGUGGGAGCCCGGUCCUGCUGUCCACUGUCUCCGGGUGCGCAGGAGCGUACCUGGCCUGAGCGUGGGCUCACCGAUCGUCACCACCGGACGCGGGAAUGCCCGAGAACUACGGUCAUGAUCAGUCUCGCUCCCCCGAAAGCUAGAGAAAGCUAG